AGACACACUGCAUCCAGAUGGUUCAAUCUAUAGCCAUCAUCAGCACGUUAGUGAGAGAGCUACUCCGUGAAGUGACUGUGGCCCACAGCUCCCUCAGUAUAGAGCUGGGCAGGGGCAGGGUUAGGAGGAGGCCAGUGAGCUAAGACCUUGCUACAGCAUGGGAUUCUGACAUUAUAUGCAGUUCAGAUAUUUUGUUCAUCAUAGAUUUAUUUGCAUAAACCUUAGAUUUUAAUAAUAUUGAAUUAAAAUAUUAUUUAUCUGGAUUCCUAACAUUUUUUGUUGUCCCCUUAAAUUGUAUAUCCGAAAUGAAUGCCUCACUUGCCUCACCCUAGUCCCAACCCUGGAUGCUGAGUCUUAUCGUUCCACUCUCUCCUCACCUUAGCACAUUUAGAAUGGUGUGAGCUCCUUUCCCCCUCAAGCUGGCUUUCUUCAGUGGAUUGUGAUAGCCCCUGGGAUCAUUGCUGUUUUGUGAGACCCACCAUCAAGGAGUCAUUAGUGAACCAUCCUGUGGUGUGAAGUUGAGUGCAAUUUUAGCUUACUUUAUGGUGCUCAGUAGGGACCAGUGUAUCUACCUACGCAUGCAUUUUUGAAUUCUAUCAAGUUACACAGCAGUAAGAAGGGCCUCCUACCCAACUUGAUAGGACAUUUGUGAAAGAUAAGUCACAAAUGAUCUUCAAUCCCCAAGAACAUUUAAGAACAUCCAAUCUCAAGAUAUAAUUUGCUGCCCCUUGUCUUAUGAAAAGCUGCACCCAGAAUUCUAACAAAAAUAAUAAAAUAUCUCCCUGAGUUCCAUCCUCAGAGAAGAUUAGGCAUUGGAAAAAAAUGGGCACAUUGCUUCCAGAAUAUUUUUAAACAUCCAGCAUUAUCAUAACCCUGAUUGUUGUCAUUUCGUGUUAUCAGCCCUGUCUGAUAAGUUAAAAAGUUGAGGGACAGAGAGAUUUAUUUAGAAAGAAUCCCAGUGGAAAUUAGAAUCAAAGCUAUAAAAGGCAUUUACAGUUAAAGUUAACUGCUACAUCUGAGGGUUUUUUAGUCCUUUUCCAGCCCUUGCAGUUACAUCGCCUGAGGUGCUCUCUGAUUUCCAAGGUAGGAAGAAUAAAAUGUAUCACAGUGCUUUCACAUGGCAUGAGUUAUGCUCUCCAGUCCUGCCCAUAGAUAUUCAUCUAAUUUUGAUAACAUCAAAGAUGCUCAUAUUAAUGAGGUUAUAGGGUGACCUACUGUCCUGGUCAUAGCACUGAAAAUCCUGCAAGCCAGACAAACCAGGAGGGCUAGUCACCCUCAUUGCUAACCCCAAAUGUCCUCCAUACUGCAAAUGCCCAUUGAUUUUUCUUUUCUCAUUAUUCUUCCUGGUUAUUUUACAAUUUGAAUAAUUCACACCAAAUACAUUUGUUUAAUUUCAGCAUUUGAUAUUCAUAAAUGAAUCAAUCAUCAUUCUUACCUAAUACUUCAGAUUUAUGAUCAGAGAUUGGCUUUUGAAAUACCACAGACAAUCAUGGCAAGAAGUGCAUAAGUAGCAAAUUGCACCUGUCUUGUCUGAAAACAACCACAAAAAAAGAAUGGAGCAAAAAGUUAAAGAUGCUUAAAAUAUAUAUUAUGAAAUUAUAACUAUAUAACAACCUGCCUAAACAACAUAUUAGGUCAUGUUAUCUUCCUAGGCAAAUCUCUGGGCUAUCUUCCCAAUGCUUCUCUUGCCAGUUAAAAUUCAUACCCCAUCAUCCAUCCAUUGCACAUUCAUUUGACACCUUUUUUCUGUGCAAUGCACUGUACAGUUGUUGAGACUAUAAAGGCAAAUAAGAGAGUUUAGGCUUAUACCUCAAAAAGAGGCUUUACUAGAAAUAAAUUGGUGCAUUAUAGAAUAAAAGGUGUCAUAGCCGAGGUCUGUACAGUUGGAGACAAAAGGCAGGGGAAAGUUUAUUUUCGAGGACAUUUGUCCCAAACUGGCCAAUUUUUUCCAAAUUUUAAAGUUUAUUCUAAUGUUCUGCCCAUGUUUCUCCACAUUUCAAAAUGCUAUUCAUCCUUCAUAGACAAACUAAAAGGUAUAGGAAACAUACAUAACCCCCAAUCAAGAUUUACUAUUCAUGUGUCUAAAAUUCCGCAAUUAGAAUUUAUUUCAGUACAGCAUAGUCAUUAAUAUAGUCAUGACUGGUUAUAAGAAAAAAAAAUAUGGUUACCUUACACCAUACACAAAAUAAAUUCUAAAUACUUUAGAGUACUAAAAGUUUAAAAAUCAACAGAAAAAAAAAAGGUGAUAUUUCUCUGAUGCUACAAUAGAGAGAUAUUUUAAAUAAUUACAUCAAUAAAACAAGGACCAUAAAGAUAAAAUAUCAGUUAGAACUCUGGUUACAUUUAACAAAAAUCCAUAUAAAAUUAGUAUUAAGAUGAAAAGAGGAAUUUAUUAUAUGUAUAUUGAAAUGCAAAGGCAAGGAUGUGGCUGGACCCCAGAAAUUACUAGAAGCAGAGACCUGAACCCCUUUAAGGUAUUUUUAACCUUGGUCUCCUCUGUACCUCUCCUUCAUUCUAAUCACUGCCCAUGGCUCCCUCCAUUUCUCUAUCAAUACAGUUAAAGGCAGUCAGUGUGCCGACAGUGCUGAACUGCCAGUUUUAUGGGUCAGGUACCUGAGGAGAAAUGGACUUGCUUUCUCUUGGUCCUCUAAUAAAUGUACAGCAAAAGAGAUUGGCAUGUGUUGAAACACUCAGCUAUCACCAUAGUAUAACACAGCCACUCCUGCCUUACCACAAGAAUAGUAUGGAAGUAUGAAAGGGGAAAUAAUUUCCAAAAAGAAGAGGAGUAAAUAUUUUCACUAUGAAACGAUAGAUCAAAUUUACACAAAAACAUGAAACCUUCACAAUUAGAAAAAAAGUUAAAUAAAAUUAAAAGACAUAGCAAACUAGAAAAGGUAUCUGAAUCAAUCAUGGGAAGAUAAUUUCUUUCCUUAAUAUAUAAAUGCGUAAGAUAAAUGUGAACAUUUCACUCAAAAUGGGAAAGAGCCAGGAAUUAAGAAUGGGAGAAAGAACAAUUACAAUGAUAUGCAACAGGACAUUGUGAGAAAAUGUUCAGCUUCAUUAAUAGUCAAUUAAAUGUGAAUCAAUAACCAUCGACUGCAAAGUUUUUGCUUAGGGAAUUGGCUUAUUUUUAUAAUGCUUAGAAAUUCAGAGAAAUGUGUACUUUCAAACAUGGUAGGCAUGUGAAUUGAUGCUAUUUUUCUUGAAGAUGAUUAGGUUAUAUGCAUCAAGAUCUUUAAUGAUGGGGAGCUCCUGUUGCAGAAAGGAAUAUGACUAGAAUCCCUGAGGAUGAGGGUUUGAUACCUGGCCUUGCUCAGUGGGUCAGGGAUCCGGUGUUGCCAUGAGCUGUGGUGUAGGUCACAGAUGCAGCUCAGAUCCCACGUUGCUGUGGCUGCGGUGUAGGCUGGCAGCUUUAACUCAGAUUAGACCUCUAGCCUGGAAAUUUCCAUAAACCACGGGUGUGACCCUAAAAAGACCAAGAAAAAAAAGAAGAUCCUUAAAAACAUGAACAUAUUAUUAAUCCCCAAAUUUCAUAUGAAAGAAAUGAGAAUAUAGAUAGGAAAAUAUUUGUUUUCCCAAGGAUGUAUUUCUUUCUUUUCUUUUCUUUUUUUUUUUUUUUUAUUUGGUUUUUCUGCCUUUUCUAGGGCUGUAUCCAUGGCAUAUGGAGGUUCCCAGGCUAGGGGUCUAAUAGGAGAUAUAGCUGCCAGCCUAUGCCAAAGCCACAGCAAUGUGGGAUCCAAGCCAUGUCUGUGACCUAUACCACAGCUCACGGCAAUGCCUGAUCCUUAACCCGCUGAGUGAGGUCAGGGGUCAAACCUGCAACCUCAUGGUUCCUAGUCGGAUUCCUUAACCACUGAGCCACGACAGGAACUCCGGGUGUAUUUCCUGAAGCAUUGUUUUUGAGAGCAAAGAAUUGGAAAUAAAGUUAUGUCUAACAACAGAUUUAUUUAAAUAAACUUGGUUUUUGAGAUGGAAUAUUAUACAUCAUUAAAAUUAUAUUUUGGAGUUCCCGGCAUGGCUCAGUGGUAAUGAAUCUGAACACUACCCAUGAGGAUGCGGGUUCAAUCCCUGGCCUUGCUCAGUAGUUAAGGAUCUGGCAUUGCUGUGACUGUGGUGUAGGCUGCCAGCUGUAGCUCUGAUUCAACCCCUAGCCUGGGAAUAUCCAUAUGCCACAAAUAAAAAUAAAUAAAAAAUAAAAUUAUAUUUUAUCAAAUAUUGAAUAACAUUGAAAAUGUCAUUAAGAGAAAAACACAAAACCCAACAUCUUAUAUGCAACAUGAUUCUAGCAUAGAUCCAUACAUUGAAAAAAGAUUGGAAAAAAAUACACCUAAAUCUUGAUAUUGUUAACUCUCUGAGUGGUAGAAUUUGAAAUUAUUAUUUUUCCUGUAUGUUCCAAACUUGAAUAAAGUAGUUGAGCUACAUUUUUUUUAAUUAGGAAAAAUAAAUAUUUAAAGAAAUUUCAAACCUUGAAAUUUAAAAGUAACUCUGACUUUUGAGUCAAUGAGAAUAUAAUGUAAAUACUAUUAAAAUAUCUAUAAAAUACAAAAAUUCAAGAAACACAUGUUAAAAUGUAUGGAAUACUGUCAAAGCUAUGUAAAGAAGUAAAUAUGAAAACUCAAAAUGUUUUAAUAAAAAAAAGUGUAGACUAUCAUAAAUUUUUUAACAGCUAAGUGACACUAAGAGUUUGGGCAUAGGGGAGCUACACAAAAGUCACACUGAUGUUAUUUUUUAAUUACUCAAAAAGGCAAACAUAGUGAUUGCUUGCCAUUUAUUGUGAGGGGAAGAUUUACUAUUUCCUUACGUUAGAUAUUCAUCAUAUUUUUGCCUGGCAAAACAAUACUAAAAUUAAUAUAUUUGAUAUGCAACCUCAUGUUUUAAGAACAUUUGAGGAGUUGCUGUUGUGGCGCAACAGAAAAGAAUUAGUCUAGUAACCAUGAAGUUGCAGAUUUGAUCACUGGCCUCGCUCAGUGGGCUAAGGAUCCAGCAUUGCUGUGAGCUGUGGUGUAUGUCACAGACAUGGCUUGGUUCCCACAUUGCUGUGGCUUUGAUUGGACUCCUAACCUGGGAAUUUCCGUAUGCCAUGGGUGUGUUCC
RNAcentral lists this long non-coding RNA (5093 nucleotides) under Sus scrofa (pig). RNAcentral's name for it is "lncRNA (ENSSSCG00025002363.1)". Lineage: Eukaryota; Metazoa; Chordata; Mammalia; Artiodactyla; Suidae. The record is from RNAcentral.